This 1372-nucleotide ribosomal RNA is filed under the name uncultured bacterium. RNAcentral's name for it is "bacterial SSU rRNA". It matches the Rfam family "Bacterial small subunit ribosomal RNA", at positions 28 to 1381 of the family's 1533-position model. The record is from RNAcentral.
GAUGAACGCUGGCGGCGUGCCUAAUACAUGCAAGUCGAGCGAACGGACGAGAAGCUUGCUUCUCUGAUGUUAGCGGCGGACGGGUGAGUAACACGUGGAUAACCUACCUAUAAGACUGGGAUAACUUCGGGAAACCGUAGCUAAUACCGGAUAAUAUUUUGAACCGCAUGGUUCAAAAGUGAAAGACGGUCUUGCUGUCACUUAUAGAUGGAUCCGCGCUGCAUUAGCUAGUUGGUAAGGUAACGGCUUACCAAGGCAACGAUGCAUAGCCGACCUGAGAGGGUGAUCGGCCACACUGGAACUGAGACACGGUCCAGACUCCUACGGGAGGCAGCAGUAGGGAAUCUUCCGCAAUGGGCGAAAGCCUGACGGAGCAACGCCGCGUGAGUGAUGAAGGUCUUCGGAUCGUAAAACUCUGUUAUUAGGGAAGAACAUAUGUGUAAGUAACUGUGCACAUCUUGACGGUACCUAAUCAGAAAGCCACGGCUAACUACGUGCCAGCAGCCGCGGUAAUACGUAGGUGGCAAGCGUUAUCCGGAAUUAUUGGGCGUAAAGCGCGCGUAGGCGGUUUUUUAAGUCUGAUGUGAAAGCCCACGGCUCAACCGUGGAGGGUCAUUGGAAACUGGAAAACUUGAGUGCAGAAGAGGAAAGUGGAAUUCCAUGUGUAGCGGUGAAAUGCGCAGAGAUAUGGAGGAACACCAGUGGCGAAGGCGACUUUCUGGUCUGUAACUGACGCUGAUGUGCGAAAGCGUGGGGAUCAAACAGGAUUAGAUACCCUGGUAGUCCACGCCGUAAACGAUGAGUGCUAAGUGUUAGGGGGUUUCCGCCCCUUAGUGCUGCAGCUAACGCAUUAAGCACUCCGCCUGGGGAGUACGACCGCAAGGUUGAAACUCAAAGGAAUUGACGGGGACCCGCACAAGCGGUGGAGCAUGUGGUUUAAUUCGAAGCAACGCGAAGAACCUUACCAAAUCUUGACAUCCUUUGACAACUCCAGAGAUAGAGCCUUCCCCUUCGGGGGACAAAGUGACAGGUGGUGCAUGGUUGUCGUCAGCUCGUGUCGUGAGAUGUUGGGUUAAGUCCCGCAACGAGCGCAACCCUUAAGCUUAGUUGCCAUCAUUAAGUUGGGCACUCUAAGUUGACUGCCGGUGACAAACCGGAGGAAGGUGGGGAUGACGUCAAAUCAUCAUGCCCCUUAUGAUUUGGGCUACACACGUGCUACAAUGGACAAUACAAAGGGCAGCGAAACCGCGAGGUCAAGCAAAUCCCAUAAAGUUGUUCUCAGUUCGGAUUGUAGUCUGCAACUCGACUACAUGAAGCUGGAAUCGCUAGUAAUCGUAGAUCAGCAUGCUACGGUGAAUACGUUCCCGGGUCU